UACAGAGGUGGCAAGCGUUGUUCGGAUUUAUUGGGUGUAAAGGGCAAGUAGGCGGUUAUGCAAGUCUGUUGUGAAAUCCCAGGGCUCAACCCUGGAACUGCAAUGGAUACUGCAUGGCUUGAGUAUCAAAGAGGUAAGAGGAAUUCUCGGUGUAAGGGUGAAAUCUGUAGAUAUCGAGAGGAAUACCAAUGGCGAAGGCAUCUUACUGGUUGAAUACUGACGCUGAAUUGCGAAAGCUGGGGGAGCAAACAGG
RNAcentral lists this unclassified non-coding RNA (253 nucleotides) under uncultured bacterium. RNAcentral describes it as "contains 16S-23S intergenic spacer region". It matches the Rfam family "Bacterial small subunit ribosomal RNA", at positions 524 to 776 of the family's 1533-position model. The record is from RNAcentral.